RNAcentral lists this long non-coding RNA (363 nucleotides) under Equus caballus (horse). RNAcentral's name for it is "lncRNA (ENSECAG00000036057.2)". The record is from RNAcentral. Lineage: Eukaryota; Metazoa; Chordata; Mammalia; Perissodactyla; Equidae.
CCAGGCGAGACCUGGUCUGCUCUGUUGUAGCAGUCUUCUGCUUUAGGCUUCAGCCUCUCAGCAAGCCAGACUGGGCCCCUUGUCAGAGCCUCUCUGAAUUUCUGAAUUCAGAGCCUUCCUCAAGUUUGGCUGAAAUCAGCUCCAGGAAAUGGGGUCUAUAACAGCUCCUUGAAGUAAGGAAGACAAUGGCCAAAUGAGCCUGUGGGUGUAGGUAUGUGUUCAGCUAUCAGUACUUCUUAGAGUGGAAGACUUUAACCUGUGGUAUCCUUCAGAACCACCACCGAAAGUUUUCCCUUCAGAUAAGACUCAACACAAGUGUGUAUUCAGAAUAUCCCAAAGUUUUGAAUGUUUCUUCUUUGCCAG